ACGGAAGGCAGCAGUGGGGAAUAUUGGGCAAUGGGCGAAAGCCUGACCCAGCAACGCCGCGUGAAGGAAGAAGGUUUUCGGAUUGUAAACUUCUUUUAUCAGGGACGAAGAAAGUGACGGUACCUGAUGAAUAAGCCACGGCUAACUACGUGCCAGCAGCCGCGGUAAUACGUAGGUGGCAAGCGUUAUCCGGAUUUACUGGGUGUAAAGGGCGCGUAGGCGGGGAUGCAAGUCAGGUGUGAAAUCUAUGGGCUUAACCCAUAAACUGCAUUUGAAACUGUAUCUCUUGAGUGUCGGAGAGGUAGACGGAAUUCCUAGUGUAGCGGUGAAAUGCGUAGAGAUUGGGAGGAACACCAGUGGCGAAGGCGACUUACUGGGCCGUAACUGACGCUGAGGCGCGAAAGCGUGGGGAGCGAACAGGAUUAGAUACCCUGGUA
The sequence is a ribosomal RNA, 437 nucleotides long. It matches the Rfam family "Bacterial small subunit ribosomal RNA", at positions 341 to 792 of the family's 1533-position model.